CAAUAGCGUAUAUUAAAGUUGUUGCGGUUAAAAAGCUCGUAGUUGGAUUUCUGCCGAGGACGACCGGUCCGCCCUCUGGGUGAGUAUCUGGCUCGGCCUGGGCAUCUUCUUGGAGAACGUAGCUGCACUUGACUGUGUGGUGCGGCAUCCAGGACUUUUACUUUGAGGAAAUUAGAGUGUUUCAAGCAGGCUUACGCCUUGAAUACAUUAGCAUGGAAUAAUAAGAUAGGACCUCGGUUCUAUUUUGUUGGUUUCUAGAGCUGAGGUAAUGAUUAAUAGGGAUAGUUGGGGGCAUUCGUAUUUAACUGUCAGAGGUGAAAUUCUUGGAUUUGUUAAAGACGGACUACUGCGAAANCANNNGCCAAGGAUGUUUUCAUNGA
This 380-nucleotide ribosomal RNA is filed under the name uncultured eukaryote. Its description in RNAcentral is "partial 18S ribosomal RNA". It matches the Rfam family "Eukaryotic small subunit ribosomal RNA", at positions 592 to 976 of the family's 1831-position model. The record is from RNAcentral.